CAGUAGCCGCGGUAAUACGUAGGGUGCGAGCGUUAAUCGGAAUUACUGAGCGUAAAGCGUGCGCAGGCGGUUGUGUAAGACAGGUGUGAAAUCCCCGGGCUUAACCUGGGAACUGCGCUUGUGACUGCACAGCUAGAGUAUGGCAGAGGGGGGUGGAAUUCCACGUGUAGCAGUGAAAUGCGUAGAGAUGUGGAGGAACACCGAUGGCGAAGGCAGCCCCCUGGGCCAAUACUGACGCUCAUGCACGAAAGCGUGGGGAGCAAACAGGAUUAGAUACCCGCGUAGUCCCUGUCUCUUAUAC
Molecule: ribosomal RNA, 301 nt
Filed under: uncultured bacterium
Lineage: Bacteria
Description: partial 16S ribosomal RNA
Rfam family: Bacterial small subunit ribosomal RNA
Source: RNAcentral